RNAcentral lists this long non-coding RNA (420 nucleotides) under Homo sapiens (human). RNAcentral's name for it is "non-protein coding lnc-IRX1-5:3". Lineage: Eukaryota; Metazoa; Chordata; Mammalia; Primates; Hominidae. The record is from RNAcentral.
CGCCCGCAAUGGACUGCAGAUAUUAAGCAGUGAAGACAGUGAGUUACUCAGCUGAUUUGUUCCGUGGAGAGUCAGGCUACCUGGUCAUCCUACUCAAUAUCCAGGCCUGCCCGAACCUCAAGACUGGGUGGGCACCGUUCAGAGGCCCCCAGCCCCUGCCCUUCUCCUGCGAGGGCCGAGCUCACCGUCAGGUCCCUGGGGCUUGGAACUAAGUAGCCACUUCAUAAACACAUGGAUUUUGGGGUGCCCCGGCCCCCAUAAAGAGAUCAAAUUAUGUCUCCUGCAUUCUGCUGUAAUGAAAUGAAUCAUAAAAUAUGUUUUAGAAGAAAAUUACUAUAAAAAGUUUCAAAAUUGUUAUUUAAAAAGGGACCCCGCCAACACGCAUAUUGACCCAAGGAAUCUUCGGGAUGGACUCUGCUU